RNAcentral lists this long non-coding RNA (218 nucleotides) under Elaeis guineensis (African oil palm). RNAcentral describes it as "long non-coding RNA (EGUI_LNC060122)". Lineage: Eukaryota; Viridiplantae; Streptophyta; Magnoliopsida; Arecales; Arecaceae. The record is from RNAcentral.
GCCUCGUCUCCAUCCAACAAGAAGAGAAUGAGUCACUAUACAACCACAUUGUCCAUUUUAAUACUAUCAUGUUGGAGAUGUGCAACUACAACAAGUAGAUAGCGAUGUAGAUACUCAAGUGAGAACUAUAGAAUGAGCACCUCAUCUUCUCCUUGACAAAACUUUUUUGAGGGAUUAUGCAAACCUAUUAGCUCAAGUCUAAAAGUAUGUGUAGGUGG